GACGAACGCUGGCGGCGUGCUUAACACAUGCAAGUCGAACGAAGAGCGAUGGAAGCUUGCUUCUAUCAAUCUUAGUGGCGAACGGGUGAGUAACGCGUAAUCAACCUGCCCUUCAGAGGGGGACAACAGUUGGAAACGACUGCUAAUACCGCAUACGAUCUAAUCUCGGCAUCGAGGAUAGAUGAAAGGUGGCCUCUACAUGUAAGCUAUCACUGAAGGAGGGGAUUGCGUCUGAUUAGCUAGUUGGAGGGGUAACGGCCCACCAAGGCGAUGAUCAGUAGCCGGUCUGAGAGGAUGAACGGCCACAUUGGGACUGAGACACGGCCCAGACUCCUACGGGAGGCAGCAGUGGGGAAUCUUCCGCAAUGGACGAAAGUCUGACGGAGCAACGCCGCGCGAGUGAUGACGGCCUUCGGGUUGUAAAGCUCUGUUAAUCGGGACGAAAGGCCUUCUUGCGAAUAGUGAGAAGGAUUGACGGUACCGGAAUAGAAAGCCACGGCUAACUACGUG
RNAcentral lists this ribosomal RNA (510 nucleotides) under uncultured bacterium. RNAcentral describes it as "partial 16S ribosomal RNA". It matches the Rfam family "Bacterial small subunit ribosomal RNA", at positions 28 to 507 of the family's 1533-position model. The record is from RNAcentral.